AAGUCGUAACAAGGUUUCCGUAGGUGAACCUGCGGAAGGAUCAUUAUCCUUUAGCGUAGUAUUACUUAUGAUACUACAAGCGCAGCACUUUUGUGUUCGCGUUAAAAUUCACAUCAAUGCUAGAUGCAUGUCUAGUGUUGACUACAAAUCCAUGUUUGCGUUAACAUGGUCGGGUACCUAAGUCUAUGCGACGUUGCAUUCAUUUGUGAUCGAGCAUACAUAAGCGGUGACAAGCCUUGUUGCCGUGUGGCUUAAUGAUUAUACGAGCUCCUCUCGCAUAACGCCCGUACUAGCAUAAAAAUAUAUUAUACUAUUUUUAAAAUCGCAUUAUUUUAUUUUGUGUAUCAUCAUGCUUCAUUUAUGAAACAUAUAAACACAAAUACAACCCUAUGCGGUGGAUCACUUGGCUC
Molecule: unclassified non-coding RNA, 410 nt
Filed under: fungal sp.
Lineage: Eukaryota; Fungi
Description: partial internal transcribed spacer region
Rfam family: Eukaryotic small subunit ribosomal RNA (bases 1-46)
Source: RNAcentral